RNAcentral lists this ribosomal RNA (504 nucleotides) under uncultured bacterium. RNAcentral describes it as "partial 16S ribosomal RNA". It matches the Rfam family "Bacterial small subunit ribosomal RNA", at positions 30 to 523 of the family's 1533-position model. The record is from RNAcentral.
AUUGAACGCUGGCGGCAUGCCUUACUCAUGCAAGUCGAACGGCAGCAUGGAGAGCUUGCUCUCUGAUGGCGAGUGGCGAACGGGUGAGUAAUGCAUCGGAACGUACCGUGUAAUGGGGGAUAACGUAGCGAAAGUUACGCUAAUACCGCAUACGACCUGAGGGUGAAAGCAGGGGAUCGCAAGACCUUGCGUUAUACGAGCGGCCGAUGUCAGAUUAGCUAGUUGGUGAGGUAAAGGCUCACCAAGGCGACGAUCUGUAGCGGGUCUGAGAGGAUGAUCCGCCACACUGGGUCUGAGACACGGCCCAGACUCCUACGGGAGGCAGCAGUGGGGAAUUUUGGACAAUGGGGGCAACCCUGAUCCAGCCAUGCCGCGUGAGUGAAGAAGGCCUUCGGGUUGUAAAGCUCUUUCGGCCGGGAAGAAAUCGCACAGGCUAAUACUCUGUGUGGAUGACGGUACCGGCAUAAGAAGCACCGGCUAACUACGUGCCAGCCGCCGCGGUAA